Molecule: non-coding RNA, 87 nt
Organism: Otolemur garnettii (small-eared galago)
Lineage: Eukaryota; Metazoa; Chordata; Mammalia; Primates; Galagidae
Source: Rfam
AUUGUUUUAAGCUUCAAAAGCAAUUCUAGCAGAGCGGCCGGGUCAGACUGCAGAGCCGUUCCUUGUUGCCUUCCUUCUGAGAACAGC